Molecule: long non-coding RNA, 1454 nt
Filed under: Mus musculus (house mouse)
Lineage: Eukaryota; Metazoa; Chordata; Mammalia; Rodentia; Muridae
Description: long non-coding RNA chr2:151039516-151040970
Source: RNAcentral
GUUAUCAAGGCUUACUGCUGUGUGUGGGUGGAUGGUCCUCUCCGUUAAUGGCUUGGUGGGCUUGCUUAGGGCUGAGAAGGACAUCCGAGCCGUACUGGAGAAACUCUCCAGACCCUUGGCUGGCCUGUCUUUCUAUGGUGACCGCACAGUCUCCAUCAGGAGAUGGGGCAGGAGAGUGUGCCCACCAACCUCGGAACCUAGCUGCCCGGUGACUUUAGCGCUUCACUUCUUGCCCACAGCCUUGUAGGAACUAGAGCCUUCAUCUGAACAUCCUUUGAAAGAUGCUUAGAAGAACUGAAGAGAAAUGGGAGUCUCUGCAGUGUCUGCCGAAUGGUUGUUCUUAAAAAUGUGUAUUUGUGUUUCUGUGUACGUGAGUGCCUGCAGAGGACAGACGAGGUCGUCCUGGAGCUGCAGUUGCGGCGGCUGUGAGCUGCCCACUGUGGGUGCUGGGAACUUGGGUCCUCUACAAGAGCAGUAUGAGUUCUUAACCAGUGAACCAUUUCUCCAGCUCCUUUCCCUCCAUCUUUACUCAUUUUUCUGAAACUCUGCAGCCCAAGUCUUGUGUGCCUAUUAAUUGCAUGGUUUUCUGUAAUUUCUAGCAAGGAACCGAGACUGUCUGUUAAGAACCCCACAAGAUAAGUAACAAGGUUUGCCUUCUGUUGGUUGAAAUCAACCUCUAAUCCUUUUUUAUUGAUGAAAUUUGGAGUCACUUUCACUAACCUGGAACUUAUUGGGUCAGCCAAUGCCACAGACCUGGUUCUGAGCUUUCGAAUUAGGAUUGGUUCUUACAUUGUAAGUUAUUCAGAGAAAAUGAGAAAGUAUUUCAUAACAUGUGAGAAUUGAUUAAAUUUAAUUGUCUAUAGUUUCAGUUUUUGUUGUUUGUUUGUUUGUUUUGAGACAGUGUCACAUUGAGUAACUGAUUGGCCUGGAGCUAGCUGUGUAGACCAUGCUGGCCUCAAAUUCAGAGUGAUUUGCCUCCCUCUGUCUCCCAAGUGCUAGUUCUCCCAAGUACCACCACAUCUGGCUUGAAUUAACUUCAACUAAGAUCUUUGUCUAUACUUGAAUGAUACUGGCUCCAAGUGGCUUCUGUUCAUAGUGAACUGUACCCUACCUGGGUAAUAUAUACAAAUUGUGAAAAAAUGGCUGGGCCUCCAGCCAGUCAGGCCCAAACCGCCAAAACUAUGUAAGGUAAAGGCUGACUUCAGCCAGUCAUAUUGUUCUUGUCUUUUCAUUGGCUACAAAUUUAACUUUGAGCUGUAUUGUGUUCAUAAGGAACUUGUUGGCCCACCUUUGCUUGGCUGUAAAACUUCCUGUGUUUUGAGAUAAACUUAACUCCUUUUGGGUGUUUAAUAAUUGGAAUGCAGCAUCCUUGAGUCUAUGUAGUAUACUUCUGCUUUUGCCUGACAGUGACAGAGUUGUAUAACUUGACUAAAGACUAAGAUGCUUAGCUCUGU